GCCUCUGUAGCUCACUUGGCUAGAGCGCUGCACCGGAAUCGCAGGGCCGUAGGUUCAAUUCCUACCAGAGGAC
This 73-nucleotide transfer RNA is filed under the name Paramuricea clavata. It matches the Rfam family "tRNA". Rfam says of the family: Transfer RNA (tRNA) molecules are approximately 80 nucleotides in length. The record is from Rfam by way of RNAcentral. Lineage: Eukaryota; Metazoa; Cnidaria; Anthozoa; Malacalcyonacea; Plexauridae.